CGAUGCAACGCGAAGAACCUUACCUGGGCUUGACAUACACCGGAUCGGGCUAGAGAUAGCUUUCCCUUUGUGGCUGGUGUACAGGUGGUGCAUGGUUGUCGUCAGCUCGUGUCGUGAGAUGUUGGGUUAAGUCCCGCAACGAGCGCAACCCUUGUCUUAUGUUGCCAGCACGUGAUGGUGGGGACUCAUGAGAGACUGCCGGGGUUAACUCGGAGGAAGGUGGGGAUGACGUCAAAUCAUCAUGCCCCUUAUGUCCAGGGCUUCACACAUGCUACAAUGGUCGGUACAACGCGUGUGCGACACUGUGAGGUGAAGCUAAUCGCUCUAAAGCCGGUCGUAGUUCGGAUUGGGGUCUGCAACUCGACCCUAUGAAGUCGGAGUCGCUAGUAAUCGCAGAUCAGCAACGCUGCGGUGAAUACGUUCCCGGGCCUU
Molecule: ribosomal RNA, 432 nt
Filed under: uncultured Corynebacterium sp.
Lineage: Bacteria; Bacillati; Actinomycetota; Actinomycetes; Mycobacteriales; Corynebacteriaceae
Description: bacterial SSU rRNA
Rfam family: Bacterial small subunit ribosomal RNA
Source: RNAcentral